GUAUUAUGGAGAGUUUGAUCCUGGCUCAGGACGAACGCUGGCGGCGUGCCUAACACAUGCAAGUCGAACGGGGAUUUUGUUUCGGCAGAAUCCUAGUGGCGAACGGGUGAGUAACGCGUAGGCAACC
RNAcentral lists this ribosomal RNA (127 nucleotides) under Succiniclasticum ruminis DSM 9236. RNAcentral describes it as "16S rRNA. Bacterial SSU". It matches the Rfam family "Bacterial small subunit ribosomal RNA", at positions 1 to 126 of the family's 1533-position model. The record is from RNAcentral. Lineage: Bacteria; Bacillati; Bacillota; Negativicutes; Acidaminococcales; Acidaminococcaceae.